CCGUUCUCAACGGGGUGCCCUGGAUACCAGGCGCUGAGAUAAUACCCGUCGAACCUGAUCCGGAUAACGCCGGCGAAGGGAUUUGAGGCCGUUCUCAAA
RNAcentral lists this non-coding RNA (99 nucleotides) under Mangrovibacter sp. MFB070. Its description in RNAcentral is "TPP riboswitch aptamer (THI element)". It matches the Rfam family "TPP riboswitch aptamer (THI element)". Rfam says of the family: Vitamin B(1) in its active form thiamin pyrophosphate (TPP) is an essential coenzyme that is synthesised by coupling of pyrimidine and thiazole moieties in bacteria. The record is from Rfam by way of RNAcentral. RNAcentral also lists the same sequence under 1 other name. Lineage: Bacteria; Pseudomonadati; Pseudomonadota; Gammaproteobacteria; Enterobacterales; Enterobacteriaceae.